This 429-nucleotide ribosomal RNA is filed under the name actinobacterium SCGC AAA044-B18. Its description in RNAcentral is "bacterial SSU rRNA". It matches the Rfam family "Bacterial small subunit ribosomal RNA", at positions 351 to 792 of the family's 1533-position model. The record is from RNAcentral. Lineage: Bacteria; Bacillati; Actinomycetota; Actinomycetes.
GCAGUGGGGAAUAUUGGGCAAUGGAGGAAACUCUGACCCAGCGACGCCGCGUGCGGGAUGAAGGCCUUCGGGUUGUAAACCGCUUUCAGCAGGGAAUAAGCGCAAGUGAAGGUACCUGCAGAAGAAGCACCGGCUAACUAUGUGCCAGCAGCCGCGGUAAUACAUAGGGUGCAAGCGUUGUCCGGAAUUAUUGGGCGUAAAGAGCUCGUAGGUGGUUUGUUACGUCGGUUGUGAAAUUCAGGGGCUCAACCCCUGACUUGCAGCCGAUACGGGCAAGCUAGAGUUUGGUAGGGGAGACUGGAAUUCCUGGUGUAGCGGUGGAAUGCGCAGAUAUCAGGAGGAACACCGAUGGCGAAGGCAGGUCUCUGGGCCAAUACUGACACUGAGGAGCGAAAGCGUGGGGAGCGAACAGGAUUAGAUACCCCGGUA